RNAcentral lists this transfer RNA (76 nucleotides) under Candidatus Latescibacterota bacterium. RNAcentral describes it as "tRNA-Lys". It matches the Rfam family "tRNA". Rfam says of the family: Transfer RNA (tRNA) molecules are approximately 80 nucleotides in length. Their secondary structure includes four short double-helical elements and three loops (D, anti-codon, and T loops). The record is from RNAcentral. Lineage: Bacteria; Pseudomonadati; Candidatus Latescibacterota.
GGGCCCGUAGCUCAGUUGGUAGAGCAGCUGACUUUUAAUCAGUUGGUCGUGGGUUCGACCCCCACCGGGCUCACCA